UACCAAGGCGCUUGAGAGAACUCGGGUGAAGGAACUAGGCAAAAUGGUGCCGUAACUUCGGGAGAAGGCACGCUGAUAUGUAGGUGAGGUCCCUCGCGGAUGGAGCUGAAAUCAGUCGAAGAUACCAGCUGGCUGCAACUGUUUAUUAAAAACACAGCACUGUGCAAACACGAAAGUGGACGUAUACGGUGUGACGCCUGCCCGGUGCCGGAAGGUUAAUUGAUGGGGUUAGCGCAAGCGAAGCUCUUGAUCGAAGCCCCGGUAAACGGCGGCCGUAACUAUAACGGUCCUAAGGUAGCGAAAUUCCUUGUCGGGUAAGUUCCGACCUGCACGAAUGGCGUAAUGAUGGCCAGGCUGUCUCCACCCGAGACUCAGUGAAAUUGAACUCGCUGUGAAGAUGCAGUGUACCCGCGGCAAGACGGAAAGACCCCGUGAACCUUUACUAUAGCUUGACACUGAACAUUGAGCCUUGAUGUGUAGGAUAGGUGGGAGGCUUAGAAGUGUGGACGCCAGUCUGCAUGGAGCCGACCUUGAAAUACCACCCUUUAAUGUUUGAUGUUCUAACGUUGACCCGUAAUCCGGGUUGCGGACAGUGUCUGGUGGGUAGUUUGACUGGGGCGGUCUCCUCCUAAAGAGUAACGGAGGAGCACGAAGGUUGGCUAAUCCUGGUCGGACAUCAGGAGGUUAGUGCAAUGGCAUAAGCCAGCUUGACUGCGAGCGUGACGGCGCGAGCAGGUGCGAAAGCAGGUCAUAGUGAUCCGGUGGUUCUGAAUGGAAGGGCCAUCGCUCAACGGAUAAAAGGUACUCCGGGGAUAACAGGCUGAUACCGCCCAAGAGUUCAUAUCGACGGCGGUGUUUGGCACCUCGAUGUCGGCUCAUCACAUCCUGGGGCUGAAGUAGGUCCCAAGGGUAUGGCUGUUCGCCAUUUAAAGUGGUACGCGAGCUGGGUUUAGAACGUCGUGAGACAGUUCGGUCCCUAUCUGCCGUGGGCGCUGGAGAACUGAGGGGGGCUGCUCCUAGUACGAGAGGACCGGAGUGGACGCAUCACUGGUGUUCGGGUUGUCAUGCCAAUGGCACUGCCCGGUAGCUAAAUGCGGAAGAGAUAAGUGCUGAAAGCAUCUAAGCACGAAACUUGCC
RNAcentral lists this ribosomal RNA (1137 nucleotides) under Escherichia coli. RNAcentral describes it as "partial 23S ribosomal RNA". It matches the Rfam family "Bacterial large subunit ribosomal RNA", at positions 1679 to 2798 of the family's 2925-position model. The record is from RNAcentral. Lineage: Bacteria; Pseudomonadati; Pseudomonadota; Gammaproteobacteria; Enterobacterales; Enterobacteriaceae.